RNAcentral lists this ribosomal RNA (215 nucleotides) under uncultured bacterium. RNAcentral's name for it is "partial 16S ribosomal RNA". It matches the Rfam family "Bacterial small subunit ribosomal RNA", at positions 524 to 733 of the family's 1533-position model. The record is from RNAcentral.
UACGUAGGGUGCAAGCGUUAAUCGGAAUUACUGGGCGUAAAGCGUGCGCAGGCGGUUUUUGUAAGUUUUGUCGUGAAAUCCCCCGGGCUCAACCUGGGGAAUUGCGAUAAGACUGCAAAGGCUAGAAUCUGGCAGAGGGGGGGUAGAAUUCCACGUGUAGCAGUGAAAUGCGUAGAGAUGUGGAGGAACACCGAUGGCGAAGGCAGCCCCCCUGG